RNAcentral lists this long non-coding RNA (583 nucleotides) under Octopus sinensis (East Asian common octopus). Its description in RNAcentral is "uncharacterized LOC115211633, transcript variant X2". The record is from RNAcentral. Lineage: Eukaryota; Metazoa; Mollusca; Cephalopoda; Octopoda; Octopodidae.
AUAGCAACUUUGCUCAUUAAAUUCGUUUGUUUACUAAGAAAAUACGAUCGUCACCAAAUUAUAAACUACCAAAUAAUUACGACUUGUAAUUAUCUAUAUUUUGUUUCAGUUAACAUUUAAACUGUUUUCUAUCUAUAGAAUUUAAUGAAUAACUCUUUUAUUCUGCAUGCCGCUUCCAAUAUGGCGUCACAGUCAACAAGUGUUUUCAUUGACAGAUUGAAUAUGCAUCAGGUUUCGGAAAUUCCAGAAGAAGGCGAUGAUAGAAACUUCACUACUUGACAUUGCACUCCUUAUUCCCGAAGUAGAAAAGGGUAAUCGAACAUGAUGAUUCUGAAGAUGAUUCCACUGAUCCAGUGAAUGGUUUAGGAAGAAGUGAACUGCCGAGAAACUCAGUGUGAUUUCGUGCCAAAAGGAACGAACGAUGUCAAUGAAGAGGAAACUAUUGAAGGAAACAGCUGCAACAGCACUUUGAACACACCUUCCUGAUCACUGCUUGUCGCAGCUGACUAGUUUGCAGAAUGCAUUUGGGAUUUGAAGACAAUUUGGAAGCUUGCUAUGCAAUAAAGUUUUGUGUUAAACUGGG